RNAcentral lists this ribosomal RNA (1372 nucleotides) under uncultured bacterium. RNAcentral describes it as "partial 16S ribosomal RNA". It matches the Rfam family "Bacterial small subunit ribosomal RNA", at positions 76 to 1445 of the family's 1533-position model. The record is from RNAcentral.
GAGCUUGCUCUCUGAUGGCGAGUGGCGAACGGGUGAGUAAUAUAUCGGAACGUACCUAGUAAUGGGGAACAACCAAUCGAAAGGUUGGCUAAUACCGCAUACGACCUACGGGUGAAAGCAGGGGAUCUUCGGACCUUGCGUUAUUAGAGCGGCCGAUAUCUGAUUAGGUAGUUGGUGGGGUAAAGGCCUACCAAGCCGACGAUCAGUAGCUGGUCUGAGAGGACGAUCAGCCACACUGGAACUGAGACACGGUCCAGACUCCUACGGGAGGCAGCAGUGGGGAAUUUUGGACAAUGGGGGCAACCCUGAUCCAGCCAUUCCGCGUGAGUGAAGAAGGCCUUCGGGUUGUAAAGCUCUUUCGCAAGAGAAGAAAUCUUACUAUCGAAUAAAUAGUAAGGAUGACGGUAUCUUGACAAGAAGCACCGGCUAACUACGUGCCAGCAGCCGCGGUAAUACGUAGGGUGCGAGCGUUAAUCGGAAUUACUGGGCGUAAAGCGUGCGCAGGCGGUUUUAUAAGUCAGAUGUGAAAUCCCCGAGCUCAACUUGGGAACUGCGUUUGAAACUGUAAGACUAGAGUGUGUCAGAGGGGGGUAGAAUUCCACGUGUAGCAGUGAAAUGCGUAGAUAUGUGGAGGAAUACCAAUGGCGAAGGCAGCCCCCUGGGAUAACACUGACGCUCAUGCACGAAAGCGUGGGGAGCAAACAGGAUUAGAUACCCUGGUAGUCCACGCCCUAAACGAUGUCUACUAGUUGUUGGUGGAGUAAAAUCCAUGAGUAACGCAGCUAACGCGUGAAGUAGACCGCCUGGGGAGUACGGUCGCAAGAUUAAAACUCAAAGGAAUUGACGGGGCCCCGCACAAGCAGCGGAGCAUGCGGCUUAAUUCGACGCAACGCGAAGAACCUUACCAAGGCUUGACAUAUACAGGAAUAUGGCAGAGAUGUCAUAGCCGCAAGGUCUGUAUACAGGUGGUGCAUGGUUGUCGUCAGCUCGUGUCGUGAGAUGUUGGGUUAAGUCCCGCAACGAGCGCAACCCUCGUUCUGUGUUGCCAGCAUUUAGUUGGGGACUCACAGGAGACUGCCGGGGUUAACUCGGAGGAAGGUGGGGAUGACGUCAAAUCAUCAUGCCCCUUAUGUCUUGGGCUGCACGCAUGCUACAAUGGCUGGUACAAACGGCUGCAAUACCGCAAGGUGGAGCGAAUCCGAGAAAGCCAGUCUCAGUUCGGAUUGGGGUCUGCAACUCGACCCCAUGAAGUCGGAGUUGCUAGUAAUCGUAGAUCAGCAACGCUACGGUGAAUACGUUCCCGGGGCUUGUACACACCGCCCGUCACAUCACGAAAGUCGGUAACACCCAAAGUCAGUGGCCCAACCGCAAG